This is a long non-coding RNA of Priapulus caudatus, 237 nucleotides long. RefSeq lists it as uncharacterized. The record is from RefSeq and is a predicted model, not a curated record. The transcript has 3 exons. Lineage: Eukaryota; Metazoa; Priapulida; Priapulimorpha; Priapulimorphida; Priapulidae.
CAGGGAGAGUCCUGUUCCGAUUCAGCACGUACAUACCUUACGGUCUGAGGGAACCGCGCAAACUCUACGAUGUCGCAAAAAGCAAUAGGGAUCUCAUGCGGAGACUAAAGUUGGUGAAACGUCUGCCGGUUCACAACGGAUGCGUGAAUACGAUCACGUGGAAUGACACGGGUGAGAUCAUCCUGUCUGGAUCCGACGAUCACAGGCUUGUCAUCACGCAUGGCUACAGUCACAAGG